CAGCAGCCACGGGAAUACGUAGGGUGCGAGCGUUAAUCGGAAUUACUGGGCGUAAAGUGUGCGCAGGCGGUUAUGUAAGACAGUUGUGAAAUCCCCGGGCUCAACCUGGGAACUGCAUCUGUGACUGCAUAGCUAGAGUACGGUAGAGGGGGAUGGAAUUCCGCGUGUAGCAGUGAAAUGCGUAGAUAUGCGGAGGAACACCGAUGGCGAAGGCAAUCCCCUGGACCUGUACUGACGCUCAUGCACGAAAGCGUGGGGAGCAAACAGGAUUAGAUACCCCUGUAGUCCCUGUCUCUUAUAC
This 301-nucleotide ribosomal RNA is filed under the name uncultured bacterium. RNAcentral's name for it is "partial 16S ribosomal RNA". It matches the Rfam family "Bacterial small subunit ribosomal RNA", at positions 509 to 807 of the family's 1533-position model. The record is from RNAcentral.